RNAcentral lists this ribosomal RNA (387 nucleotides) under Lycogala flavofuscum. RNAcentral describes it as "partial 12S ribosomal RNA". Lineage: Eukaryota; Evosea; Eumycetozoa; Liceales; Enteridiidae. The record is from RNAcentral.
AAGGAGCCGGUAUCAAGUACAGCUCUGGAGAGAGGAACCAGCUUGUGAGGAAAAUCUCUCGCGUGGCGCCCUCGAUGGCCUUAGCGAUCGCCUCGUAGUAGUCCUUGCAGUCGAUGUGCACCAUCGCACGUACGCCUGUCCGAGGAGGGAAAACAAGGGAGGGUAUCUAACCAUGAUUCAAAGGAGAUAUAUGUACAGUUAUUUAUAUUUAUGGUUAUGGGUUGGUGCUUACCUUUGCUUCCCCCCCCCCCCCCUCAUUAUAGAUUUUUUUCUUUUGGUAUAAAAUAAAUAAAAUAAAAAAUCUUGAUUACAAUAGGAUCAAAGAUGCUUCCGGCGAAGCUUCUGUCGGAACAGGGAUAACAAUGGGUGGCACUUCACAUCCCUCUA